RNAcentral lists this microRNA precursor (143 nucleotides) under Ovis aries (sheep). RNAcentral's name for it is "miRNA (ENSOARG00000021230.1)". Lineage: Eukaryota; Metazoa; Chordata; Mammalia; Artiodactyla; Bovidae. The record is from RNAcentral.
AGAACACCCAGUUACAUGUGGAUAUCAGAUAAAUAACAAGUCAUUGUCAAGCAUAAAUAUGUCCAUGCAACAUUUGGGAUAUACUUAUGCUAAACAAUGAUUCAUUGUUUUAUCUGAAAUCAGUUCUAACUUGGCAUCCUUUA